Long non-coding RNA from Ananas comosus (pineapple), 564 nucleotides. RefSeq lists it as uncharacterized. The transcript is spliced from 4 exons. The record is from RefSeq and is a predicted model, not a curated record. NCBI's taxonomy places the organism in Eukaryota, Viridiplantae, Streptophyta, Magnoliopsida, Poales, Bromeliaceae.
AACCUUCUUAGACCAGGGUUAAGCUACUUUAAAGCUUAAUUGGAAUAAUUAGCCAUUUAUGAAGCUAAUCCGGAACUAUACGCGGUUUAAUCGCGUAAUUGACGUUGUUUUGUAUGAUCUCUUCGCAGCAGGUCUUUGUGCCUUUUUGAGCUGAACUUACACUCUUAGAAGCUGAUUUGGAAGGUAUUCUAACCUGAGCGAGAGUACGAACGAGCCUUGGAUCGUCGUGAGCUGACUUGUGAGAGCUCUUGGAGACUUAUCUUGAGCAGCAUUGGGGCUUCGUUGAGACGAUUUGGGGACCUCUUUUGGACUGCUUGGAGCUUAGUAAUAGAGCCAUCUACAGGAGAGGCUAGGGAUCGUGGCAAGGGAGUCGCGCCUAGCUAGGGACUACUAGGAGCGUGCUAGUCGAUCACCUUGUUGCUCGGGCUACGGCCGAGGGUGAUGUCCCUAUGUAUAGAGAAACCACCUUUGUAUCUAUCCUAUUUUUGUAUCCUCGUGAUGUAUAUGUACUACUUGGACCGUGAACUACAGUUGUGAUACUUCUCUUUUGUCGAGAUUUUGGGA